Molecule: long non-coding RNA, 1022 nt
Organism: Toxorhynchites rutilus septentrionalis
Lineage: Eukaryota; Metazoa; Arthropoda; Insecta; Diptera; Culicidae
Exons: 3
Source: RefSeq, a predicted model, not a curated record
CUGCAAAGCAACCGUAUCACGAAUAUUGGUUAUUGUCUCAGAUAUGAAAUUGAGCUUUUUCAUUUCCUCUUUCAACAAUGAAAUGUCAACAACCAAAUCAUGUGGCUCACUUUUGCUAGCAGCUUUGCAGCUGCUUUAGUUAGAUUCGUGCAGCGCCUGUGCAUACGAGCGCCACAAUUUCCAACACAAGCAACCGGAUCAUCGCUGAUCACAAUACCAUCCUUACAUACACCACAUUCAUCCAUUGGCCUAAGCACGAGCGUAGCGAAAUACCAGCAAAAUAACACAACCAAAACAAACGAAAUUCAGUCAACAGCAGCUUGCGAUAAUCCCACUUGCUGCUGUUUUAGGGAUAAUGCUGAAAAUAAAUAUCAGUUGAUGUAGCAGCUUAUACUUAUGUUUUGCACUAUCAAUGACGCUUCCAGCUGGUUACAAUGUAUCACAAAAUUGAACAGGAUUUCACAAACAACUUUAAAUCUGAAGAAUGAAGAAUCCUUUACGGUCAAUCUGCUUGGAAUGAACCUAAACGAUACCUUCAGCCUCGGGUCAGUGCCUAUGGAUCAAUUCUGCAAUUAUGUCAGCAGCUAUCCAAAGUCUGCAAUCUGCUUUCCUCAACCAGCGGGAAUCAGCAACGAAAGAGUCUGCAACGAGGAGUGUACAUCGAUUACCAAGUAACAAUUUAAGUAGCGAUACGGUACCAAUUCUGUAGCUAAACCCUGCUCCUUCCAAGCCGUGACGCUAACCACUCAGCCACGGGAGUAGAAAAUUGUAACUUUUAAAUGGAACAUAUAUCAUCUUCACACGUUAAUCUAUUACGUUUCAAUAAAAUACUUUAACAUGCCGAUGUGGCACUUUGAUUCGCUGAACUUUUUAUUUUCUUAUUUUCUUUCAUUAUGGUUCCAAUAUUAACAACUCAAAAGUGAAGUGCCAUUUAUACGCAUUCAUCUAUUUCGUUACAAGUACAAUGUAUAUUCAAACACUGGAUGCAUCGAGAAUAAAUUAAAGCAGUAAACCUGGCAGAA